GCGUAGGCGGCUAAUUAAGUCAAAUGUGAAAUCCCCGAGCUUAACUUGGGAAUUGCAUUCGAUACUGGUUAGCUAGAGUGUGGGAGAGGAUGGUAGAAUUCCAGGUGUAGCGGUGAAAUGCGUAGAGAUCUGGAGGAAUACCGAUGGCGAAGGCAGCCAUCUGGCCUACACUGAGCGCNCGAGGUGCGAAAGCAUGGGGAGCAAACAGGAUUAGAUACCCUGGUAGUCCAUGCCGUAAACGAUGUCUACUAGCCGUUGGGGCCUUUGAGCCUUUAGUGGCGCAGCUUACGCGAUAGUAGACCGCCUUGGGAGGUUACGGUCNCCAGACCUA
RNAcentral lists this ribosomal RNA (331 nucleotides) under Acinetobacter calcoaceticus. RNAcentral describes it as "bacterial SSU rRNA". It matches the Rfam family "Bacterial small subunit ribosomal RNA", at positions 569 to 897 of the family's 1533-position model. Lineage: Bacteria; Pseudomonadati; Pseudomonadota; Gammaproteobacteria; Moraxellales; Moraxellaceae. The record is from RNAcentral.